CGGCUCUCCCCAUCCUGGCCGUGCAGCAGCGGCCAAGGGUGAGGUUGUUCGCCUAUUAAAGGGGAUCGUGAGCUGGGUUUAGACCGUCGUGAGACAGGUCGGUUGCUAUCUAACGGGGGUGUCCGGGAGGCUGUGGGGAAGGAGGUUCUAGUACGAGAGGAACGAGCCUCCGGCGCCACUGGUUGACCGGUUGUCCGGCAGGGCACUGCCGGGCAGCUACGCGCCAUGCGGUUAAAGGCUGAAAGCAUCUAAGCCUGAAACCGCCCCCGAAAAGAGCCUCCCUUAAGGGCGCGGGUAGAAGACCCGUUUGAUAGGACCGGGAUGUAAGCGGGAAGGCAACGACCCGUUCAGUCCGCGGUCACUAAAGCCCGUGC
This 374-nucleotide ribosomal RNA is filed under the name Archaeoglobales archaeon. RNAcentral describes it as "bacterial LSU rRNA". It matches the Rfam family "Archaeal large subunit ribosomal RNA", at positions 2602 to 2975 of the family's 2987-position model. Lineage: Archaea; Methanobacteriati; Methanobacteriota; Archaeoglobi; Archaeoglobales. The record is from RNAcentral.